This 240-nucleotide unclassified non-coding RNA is filed under the name plant metagenome. RNAcentral describes it as "partial contains small subunit ribosomal RNA, internal transcribed spacer 1, and 5.8S ribosomal RNA". The record is from RNAcentral.
UUUCCGUAGGUGAACCUGCGGAAGGAACAUUACCGAGGGAGGUUCUCUCGGGCCCGACCUCCCACCCUGUGUUUUUGUGACUUUGUUGCUUUGGCGGGCCCGCCUCUAUGAGAGGCCGCCGGAAGGUCACCGCUUUGGGCCCGUCCCCGUCAGUAGCCCCCUUAAAUUCUUAAUAAACCUGUCGUCUGAGUUAAUGGAUAUAAUGAAAAAAAACUUUCAACAACGGAUCUCUUGGUUCUG